Molecule: long non-coding RNA, 1446 nt
Filed under: Oryzias sinensis (Chinese medaka)
Lineage: Eukaryota; Metazoa; Chordata; Actinopteri; Beloniformes; Adrianichthyidae
Description: lncRNA (ENSOSIG00000016874.1)
Source: RNAcentral
AGAACAUGACAUCUAUGUGACAUCAGUUUUAUUGCCUGCAGAGCCUGCAUAUAACCUCACUGGACAUCUAAAAUCCAUUUUUCAGUGACUUCAAGCUACGUCUAGCAAAGUACUGAAACGCUCGUUCCCAACCUUAAAGCCUUUUUUCAAGAUAAAACCUGCAAAUAUUUACGCUCUUUCUCAAAGAACACUGAAUAUUUCGCACAUCUCUGAUAAAAUGGCUUAUAACAAAAGAAACAAACAGAACUUUCAUGGCCAGAAGCCUAGGAAGAACCACCAUGGUGUUGGAUAUCCCUCUCAUUACGAUCACGGAUAUGACAAUCCCUAUCCAGUUGGGUUUAAUCCACAUGUAAAGCAGAAUUUCUCUGAUCCGGACUCCCUCAUCUCUGAGCUCAGAAAACAGAUCAGACUGGAAGAGGAAGAGAAAAAUCGGCAGAUCCAACAGAAAGCAUUGGAAGCUGAAACAAUGCAGAAGAAAAAUGAAGCCUGCAGAUUAGAAAACCAGCUGCUGCAGGAAAAGAACAACAACCUGCAGAAACAGAACCAAGAAAUUCGUAGUCAAAACGAAGAUUUAAACCAAAAACACAGAGCAUUUUCUUGCAAUGAGACAUCUUUCAACGCACUGAAAGAAAAACUGCAAAAGAUGCGAGAAGAAGUUCGGAUUCUCCGAGACCAGAACCAAAAUGUGGAUUUGGAAGAGAUGCAGAAAGUGGUGACUGAAAGCCAGGGAGUGACACAAAUGGUUAGAGAUGAGAACUCUACGCUGGUUCUGAAAGUGGAAAACCUCCAAGAGGAGAACAAUCAGCUGAAGACACAACUGCAAGCAGCUCCCCAGCAUGAGGUGGCUCCUUUAACCAACACGCUGCCUGCAGAGGUGGAGGAGCUCAGAAAAACUCUUGAAGCUUCUCAGUUUGUGACGCAAAGCUUUAGAGAGGGAAACAUUAAGAUGAUUCAGGAAGUCCAGGAGCUUAGAAAAGCAAAGGAGCAGCUGAAGGAAAAUCUCCAGAAAGCUUCACUACAACAAAAUGACUUUCCUGAAAUGAUCCAUCAAAUCAAUCAGACUGAUAAAGAGAGGAUAGAAUUAAGAGACCAGCUGUUUGAAGAAAUUAAAACCACAGAGCUGCUCAAAGAAAGCCUCUUUUACCUGGAGGAUCACGUGGAUGAACUGAAGGACAAAGUCACAAGUUUAGAAGGAAACACCACAGAGAGAAAGCAAUGUUUGAACCUGGAGGACUAUGAUGUGAUCAUAGAAGAGGAAUGGAUGGAGGAAGAGGAAGAGAUGGAGGAAAAUAAAGAGAUGGAGGAAAAUAAAGAGAUGAAGGAAAAUAAAGAGAUGGAGGAAAAUAAAGAGAUGGAGGAAAAUGAUAGGGUGGAGGUAAAUGAACAAAAGGAAGAAGAAAGUGUAGAAAAAAAUGAGCUGUUCUUAGAGAAAACGGAGGAAAUGUU